AUUGAACGCUGGCGACAUGCCUAACACAUGCAAGUCGAACGGCAGCACGGGUGCUUGCACCUGGUGGCGAGUGGCGAACGGGUGAGUAAUACAUCGGAACACGUCCCGUAGCGGGGGGUAGCGCGGCGAAAGCCGGAUUAAUACCGCAUAAGAACUACGGAAGACAGCGGGGGCCCCUGGGGACUCGCGCUAUAGGGUUGGCCGAUGGCUGAUUAGCUAGUUGGUGGGGUAAAGGCCUACCAAGGCGACGAGCAGUAGCUGAUCUGAGAGGAGGACAGGUCACACUGGGACUGAGACACGGCCCAGACUCCUACGGGAGGCAGCAGUGGGGAAUUGUGGACAAUGGGCGAAAGCCUGAUCCAGCAAUGCCGCGUGUGUGAAGAAGGCCUUCGGGUUGUAAAGCACUUUUGUCCGGAAAGAAAUCCUUGGCCCUAAUACGGUCGGAGGAUGACGGUACCGGAAGAAUAAGCACCGGCUAACUACGUG
This 486-nucleotide ribosomal RNA is filed under the name uncultured bacterium. Its description in RNAcentral is "partial 16S ribosomal RNA". It matches the Rfam family "Bacterial small subunit ribosomal RNA", at positions 29 to 507 of the family's 1533-position model. The record is from RNAcentral.